This 379-nucleotide unclassified non-coding RNA is filed under the name Hevea brasiliensis (rubber tree). Lineage: Eukaryota; Viridiplantae; Streptophyta; Magnoliopsida; Malpighiales; Euphorbiaceae. The record is from RNAcentral.
GGCAUCUUGCUAUCGUAUGCAUAUCUCAGAACUUUGCUAUUAUUUUAUUCAACUAGAUGUUUAAUGUUCAAUUCUCUGGUACAAAAACUAGCAACACAGAACAACAGCCAUCUCCAAAAACAAUUAAAGAAAGGUAUUCACAAAGAGACCGAGCAUUACUGAACUCCCAAAUCUAUGGGGCCAAUAAUUUCUUGAUUCCUGACUUCUGCUCAGCAGUUAACCUUGUUGGGAAUUUUAUAUUGAACUUGAUUCUCAAGUUUCCCCUCUUUGAGGGAUCCUUUGGUAUAGGCAUGCCUUCGUUUGGAACAACUUCUUCAUAGUCCGGUUGAAUCACGCUGUUGAUUAGGAUGGGCAGGCUCCUACCAUCUAGAGUUGUAAG